CUAAAGCCUCUAAAACCCAUUCUUGACCCCUGCAGAGAAAGAGCAGGGGUAUGAGCCAGAAUGGAUGGCAUGGAGAAGAGGGAAUGAAAAAUAGAGAAACUCAUCAUCAUAGGGAGGAUGACCGGGUGAUACAUUUUGGGAAAAGCCAAGAGAAGCUCAUGAAAACUGGCAACUAAGCCAUGGAAGGUUGCCAUCUGCUGAGGCAGACAGAGGGCAUUACCAAAGAAAUCAUGGAUUCUUGAAGUACCAAGGAAAAUUUGAGUUCAUGUCUUUUCCUCCCUCCUAGGAAGGAAGAAGCUCUCGGAGGAAGGAUAUGAGCAAGCUAGGGGAAAUCUUAUAAAGUCUCCUAUCGGUGGUGGCACUUGAUAAACUGAUGCUAAGUGAAAAUAGUAGAAAGACUGCAGAGAAAUUCUCUCAGUGACUCAAGAGUCUUUUUGUACCUAUUAUUUAUCCUGGACGACAGAAACCCUAAUAAACAGAGAUCUACAAUGGAAGAGCAGUUAUAUCUGUUGAAUCGC
RNAcentral lists this long non-coding RNA (518 nucleotides) under Sarcophilus harrisii (Tasmanian devil). RNAcentral describes it as "lncRNA (ENSSHAG00000025766.1)". The record is from RNAcentral. Lineage: Eukaryota; Metazoa; Chordata; Mammalia; Dasyuromorphia; Dasyuridae.